Long non-coding RNA from Spea bombifrons (plains spadefoot toad), 294 nucleotides. RefSeq lists it as uncharacterized. Lineage: Eukaryota; Metazoa; Chordata; Amphibia; Anura; Pelobatidae. The transcript has 2 exons. The record is from RefSeq and is a predicted model, not a curated record.
GAACCGCUUGGUGAUAACCGGACCUUUUUCCGGGAGUUUCCAUUCAGUCUCCAUUAACUUAAUGAGAGACUCAUCCACUUUGAAGGCCCUUGGCCCUCUAGAGGUGGUCUCUGGAGCUUCCUUAGAGUCAACAUCCUGGUUCUUCUUCAGAAGAAGAGUCAAGCUCAUCUACAGUGAGAUAAGCGUCUUCAGACAUAGGGACCACCCUUGCAGGGGACUGGGCCCUAGGUCUCUUUAUCUGGAGUGUAUCCUCAAAUCUCUUGAUAGAGGAUCCAACAAAAUCUUUAACCCAAA